ACCUACGGCGAUACCACCCUGAAUGCGCCCAGUCUCAUCUGAUCUCAAGCUAAGCAGGGUCGGGCCUGGUUAGUACCUGGAUGGGGUAGGCA
Molecule: ribosomal RNA, 92 nt
Organism: Ochotona princeps (American pika)
Lineage: Eukaryota; Metazoa; Chordata; Mammalia; Lagomorpha; Ochotonidae
Source: Ensembl